Molecule: ribosomal RNA, 476 nt
Filed under: uncultured Bacteroidota bacterium
Lineage: Bacteria; Pseudomonadati; Bacteroidota
Description: bacterial SSU rRNA
Rfam family: Bacterial small subunit ribosomal RNA
Source: RNAcentral
GAUGAACGCUAGCGGGAGGCCUAACACAUGCAAGCCGAGCGGUAUUUCUUCUUCGGAAGAGAGAGAGCGGCGUACGGGUGCGUAACACGUGUGCAACCUACCUUUAUCUGGGAGAUAGCCUUUCGAAAGGAAGAUUAAUAUCCCAUAAUAUAUUUGAUGGCAUCAUUAGAUAUUGAAAGCUCCGGCGGAUAGAGAUGGGCACGCGCAAGAUUAGAUAGUUGGUGAGGUAACGGCUCACCAAGUCUGUGAUCUUUAGGGGUCCUGAGAGGGAGAUCCCCCACACUGGUACUGAGACACGGACCAGACUCCUACGGGAGGCAGCAGUGAGGAAUAUUGGACAAUGGGUGAAAGCCUGAUCCAGCCAUCCCGCGUGAAGGAUGACGGUCCUAUGGAUUGUAAACUUCUUUUGUACAGGGAUAAACCUACUCUCGUGAGGGUAGCUGAAGGUACUGUACGAAUAAGCACCGGCUAACUCC